GACGAACGCUGGCGACGUGCUUAACACAUGCAAGUCGAACGGUAAGGCCCUUCGGGGUACACGAGUGGCGAACGGGUGAGUAACACGUGGGUGAUCUGCCCUGCACUUCGGGAUAAGCCUGGGAAACUGGGUCUAAUACCGGAUAGGACCCUGGGAUGCAUGUCCUGGGGUGGAAAGCUUUUGCGGUGGGGGAUGGGCCCGCGGCCUAUCAGCUUGUUGGUGGGGUGAUGGCCUACCAAGGCGACGACGGGUAGCCGGCCUGAGAGGGUGACCGGCCACACUGGGAAUGAGAUACGGCCCAGACUCCUACGGGAGGCAGCAGUGGGGAAUAUUGCACAAUGGGCGCAAGCCUGAUGCAGCGACGCCGCGUGAGGGAUGACGGCCUUCGGGUUGUAAACCUCUUUCAGCUAUGACGAAGCGCAAGUGACGGUAGUAGCAGAAGAAGGACCGGCCAACUACGUGCCAGCCGCCGCCGUAA
This 478-nucleotide ribosomal RNA is filed under the name uncultured bacterium. RNAcentral's name for it is "partial 16S ribosomal RNA". It matches the Rfam family "Bacterial small subunit ribosomal RNA", at positions 28 to 523 of the family's 1533-position model. The record is from RNAcentral.